Molecule: ribosomal RNA, 427 nt
Filed under: uncultured bacterium
Lineage: Bacteria
Description: bacterial SSU rRNA
Rfam family: Bacterial small subunit ribosomal RNA
Source: RNAcentral
UAGGGAAUAUUGGACAAUGGGGGCAACCCUGAUCCAGCCAUGCCGCGUGAGUGAAGAAGGCCCUCGGGUUGUAAAGCUCUUUUGUCCGGAAAGAAAAGCAUUCGGUGAAUACCCGGAUGUUCUGACGGUACCGGAAGAAUAAGCACCGGCUAACUUCGUGCCAGCAGCCGCGGUAAUACGAAGGGUGCAAGCGUUACUCGGAAUUACUGGGCGUAAAGCGUGCGUAGGUGGUUGUUUAAGUCUGAUGUGAAAGCCCUGGGCUCAACCUGGGAAUGGCAUUGGAAACUGGGCAGCUAGAGUGCGGUAGAGGGUAGUGGAAUUCCCGGUGUAGCAGUGAAAUGCGUAGAGAUCGGGAGGCACAUCUGUGGCGAAGGCGACUGCCUGGACCAGCACUGACACUGAGGCACGAAAGCGUGGGGAGCAAACA